GCCCGGGUGGCGAAAUUGGUAGACGCAAGGGACUUAAAAUCCCUCGGGGGAAACUCCGUACCGGUUCGAUUCCGGUCCCGGGCACCA
RNAcentral lists this transfer RNA (87 nucleotides) under Pseudohongiella spirulinae. RNAcentral's name for it is "tRNA-Leu". It matches the Rfam family "tRNA". From Rfam's summary of the family: Transfer RNA (tRNA) molecules are approximately 80 nucleotides in length. Their secondary structure includes four short double-helical elements and three loops (D, anti-codon, and T loops). RNAcentral also lists the same sequence under 5 other names. The record is from RNAcentral. Lineage: Bacteria; Pseudomonadati; Pseudomonadota; Gammaproteobacteria; Pseudomonadales; Pseudohongiellaceae.